AGUCUGAAGUGAUGGCAGGCUGACACACUCAUGAAUAAUUCCUUUACAGAUGGUUGGCAUCAGUCUGGCGUGAGGUUGAGUAUACCACAGGAACAACUGAUCCUACAUGGACUGCUGGAGGAACCCCUGCAUGAUCUGCUGCUCAUCUUUCUGCUGGAUGGAUGAAGUAAUUUGUGCUUCAUACAGAAUGGUGGCUGUAUGCAUGCUGUGGAGAUCAGGAGCAUGCUGCCUGAAAAAUUGUUCAUACAGAACCUCCCUGAUGGAGCCUGGGCUGAGAGUGAAC
Molecule: long non-coding RNA, 283 nt
Filed under: Fukomys damarensis (Damara mole-rat)
Lineage: Eukaryota; Metazoa; Chordata; Mammalia; Rodentia; Bathyergidae
Description: lncRNA (ENSFDAG00000031008.1)
Source: RNAcentral